GGUUUAAGGUUUAAGGUCGCUGAAUUACUUUCUUUAUCAAUCUGUGUCGCAGUUUGUUUUUCUCCAUCUAAAGCCCAGAGCCGUGCAGAGACCAGAGUCUGAAGAACUCAUUAUGUCUGACUUACUGAGGGACUUCAGGUUACAACUCUUGUUUAAGGAGCUCAACCCGACCUUCUCCCACCUGAAGAUAGAUGGCGCUGAAGCAGCAGAUGAUGAUAAUGAGUCAGGAUACUCAUCUGUCAGUCGGUGAGUGAAAUGUGCUUACAUCUUAUUCAGACUGACAGUUUUAAAAAUAUCAAUAUUUUGAUGAGGCUUAACCGUAUCAGUUAAAACUGACAUCGAGUGCUUUCACACGGACUUGAGUAUCCUGUUUAAUUAUUACUAUUAUUUUUUUAC
Non-coding RNA from Labrus bergylta (ballan wrasse), 396 nucleotides. The record is from RefSeq and is a predicted model, not a curated record. Lineage: Eukaryota; Metazoa; Chordata; Actinopteri; Labriformes; Labridae.